AUGAUCAGCCCCAACAUACUCAAGAAGGCGGUCUGUGAGCAGAACUCGGUCCCAUUACAGGAGAAGAAGAAGGCACGCAAAAGAAAGACUAACAAGGGUGCGGGCCAGCCGGCACCGAGUACGAUCCAUGCUCAGGACGGGCCACCUUCACCUGAGGAUAUCUCGAGGAGGGUGCAUGUGGCGGGUAGGCCGAUGCUACCGAGAAAUAUGCUCGAUGCUGCAACCGGUGCUAUGCGGAGUCUGCAUGACAGUGUUCUUUCUUUGGAGAAGCGGCGUCUCGGAGAGAAGGAUGUGGCAUACCCGGUUUUCGCGGCCAAGGUGCCAGAGGGCAAGGGCUUUGUGGAUAACUCCAUCGGGGGUACGAUCGUCCUGCGGUUUGAUGACAUCCACGCUAUGUUGAACCUUCAUCCGCUGCACUACACCUUCCUUCGGCUAUUUUCGCUGAGUAUGGAGAUGCGGAUCAUUCGCGACAAGACCCCGGACAUCAUGAUAGUCGACCCCUUCUACAUGCGUGCCAAGAUCUUGGGCAGCGCUGGGGACCGGCAAGUCGCGACUUCUUACCUCGAAGGCGUCAUUCUGGCAAACCAAGAUAAAGAUAACUUCCUCGUGCCUUACUUUCCCGAGUAA
This 627-nucleotide ribosomal RNA is filed under the name Triticum aestivum (bread wheat). RNAcentral describes it as "partial small subunit ribosomal RNA". Lineage: Eukaryota; Viridiplantae; Streptophyta; Magnoliopsida; Poales; Poaceae. The record is from RNAcentral.